ACACUUCCAAACACAGAGCCGUAAAAGUAACUGGCUAUAGCCAGUGAGAAAUAAUUUCUCUCUCCCGCCUACCCAACCCUGCCUGGGCCAACCCAGAGCACUUGAAGGCAGCCAGCCGCUGCGCUUCCUUAGGGGCGAGUUGAGCAACUCAGACUUGACCAGCCCAUUAAGUCCUGUCCAAGAACACAGGGGACCGGCUAAGGAGAAGUGGGACCUGGGCUCGGUUGCCAGGUUCACACUUUUCCCUCUCCAGCGGACCCAGCUUGGCACAGUUGCAGCAUGACUCUGUGGAACGGCGAGCUGCCUUUCUACCCCCAGCCCUGGCAUGCCCCGGGCUACAGCGUCCCAUUGCUCAUCGUCAUUCUGGUGUUCUUGGCCCUGGCCGCCAGCUUCCUGCUCAUCUUGCCUGGGAUCCGUGGUCACUCGCGCUGGUUCUGGCUGGUGAGAGUUCUUCUCAGUCUGUUCAUAGGCGCGGAAAUUGUGGCCGUGCACUUUAGCGCACAAUGGUCAGUGGGUGGGAUGAACACCAACACAUCCUACAAGGCCUUCAGUGCAGCAAGGGUCAGCGCUCACGUUGGUCUCCACGUCGGCCUGGGGGGAAUUAAUAUUACACUCACAGGGACCCCGGUGCAGCAGCUGAACGAGACCAUAGACUACAACGAGCACUUCAACUGGCGUCUGGGUGAGAACUAUGCCGAGGAGUACUCGGAGGCCCUGGAAAAGGGGCUGCCGGAUCCAGUUCUCUACUUGGCGGAGAAGUUCACCCCGAGCAGCCCCUGCGGGCUCUACCGCCAGUACCGCCUGGCGGGACACUACGCGUCCGCCACGCUGUGGGUGGCGUUCUGCUUCUGGCUCCUCUCCAACGCGCUGCUCUCCAUGCCGGUCCCGCUCUACGGAGGCCUGGCGCUCAUGACCACCGGCACCUUCACGCUCUUCUCCAUCUUCGCCUUCGCCUCCAUCUCCCGCGUGCCGCUCUGCCCGCUCCGCCUCGGCUCCUCCACGCUCGUCACUCACUACGGCGCCGCUUUUUGGGUCACCCUGGCCACCGGCAUCCUGUGCCUCCUCCUCGGAGUGGCGGUGGUGAGUCUCCACUACUCUCGACCCAGCGCUCUCCGCACCUUCUUGGACGGAAGUGUCAAGGACUGUGGUAGCCAGGCGAAAAGGAACUUGUCUCUCAUCCUGAACAACCCACUGCAUAAGCAGUUCGGAGCCCUGGACUUAACGACUAGUACUAACCUUUGAGGGUUAUUCAACCUCGGACUCCUAACCCCGCCUCGGCCCCCUGCAGGCCGGGUAGCAAUACCUGCUGGGCUCAGGCCAGGAGAGCUAGCUCCAGGAGGGUCACUACGCCGCGGGCGCAGGGAAAAGCAGGCGGCCUCAGACGUGCCACACGCCUGCGCCCGGGGAAAAAGGGUCUCCCAAGGUAAGAGCCAUCCCUCACCUUUGAGUGUAAUGUUGACUCCUCCCAGACCAACCCGCAGCCCCACAUCAGCGCUGAUCCGUUCGGAACUGAAGGCUUUGUAUGAUGUCUUGGUGCUGACCUGGCCCACGAACCACUCAGAACUGAAAUUCACAGCUGGGGUGGGGAGUUGGACAUAUGGGAACUCAGGAAGGUCCAGGCAUUCCUGGGUUAGAGUCAGAAGGAAAGCUACACGGGGUCUAGGUCUGUUUUGCUCAUAACUGUGUAUCUGUUAACUAGCUCAGGGUCUGGCU
RNA transcript from Zalophus californianus (California sea lion), 1713 nucleotides. It is a transcript of the gene named dual oxidase maturation factor 2, with no coding region annotated. NCBI's taxonomy places the organism in Eukaryota, Metazoa, Chordata, Mammalia, Carnivora, Otariidae. The transcript is spliced from 7 exons. The record is from RefSeq and is a predicted model, not a curated record.